RNAcentral lists this ribosomal RNA (212 nucleotides) under uncultured bacterium. Its description in RNAcentral is "partial 16S ribosomal RNA". It matches the Rfam family "Bacterial small subunit ribosomal RNA", at positions 1289 to 1500 of the family's 1533-position model. The record is from RNAcentral.
CAGUUCGGAUUGUAGGCUGCAACUCGCCUACAUGAAGCUGGAAUCGCUAGUAUCGCGGAUCAGAAUGCCGCGGUGAAUACGUUCCCGGGUCUUGUACACACCGCCCGUCACACCAUGGGAGUCGGAAAUGCCCGAAGCCGGCGACCUAACCUUUCAGGAAGGAGCCGUCGAAGGCAGGUCUGAUAACUGGGGUGAAGUCGUAACAAGGUACC